This 738-nucleotide long non-coding RNA is filed under the name Malus domestica (apple). RNAcentral describes it as "long non-coding RNA (MDOM_LNC004248)". Lineage: Eukaryota; Viridiplantae; Streptophyta; Magnoliopsida; Rosales; Rosaceae. The record is from RNAcentral.
ACCUCUUUUUUUUUUUUUUUUUUUUUUUUUUUUUUUUUCUCUUUAUAUAUGGUGCUUUGUAGGGAUGGAACUUGACGGACGGUGAGCUGCAGUCGAGGCUUCAUGACCGGCUAGUCGUUUGACGGCGGUUUAUUGAAGUUCUUCGUUGUUGUUUGUCACUGACGGAGAGAAGGCCUUUGGGUGUGAGUUGACAAACUUUGGUUUUGUCAAUCACAUUCAAAAGCAGCAGUCAUGGCGGAGGUGCAGAAGCAGCUGGAGCUUGAGGUAGAAUGCAAGGCAUUGAGCUUCACUACCGGCUAGUCGUUUGACGGCGGUUUAUUGAAGUUCUUCGUCGUUGUUGUUUGUUACGGACGGAGAGAAGGCCUUUGGGUGUGAGUUGACAAACUUUGGUUUUGUCAAUCUCAUUCAAAGGCAGCAACCAUGGCGGAGGUGCAGAAGCAGCUGGAGCUUGAGGUAGAAUGCAAGGCAUUGAGCUUCACUACCGGCUAGUCGUUUGACGGCGGUUUAUUGAAGUUCUUCGUCGUUGUUGUUUGUUACGGACGGAGAGAAGGCCUUUGGGUGUGAGUUGACAAACUUUGGUUUUGUCAAUCACAUUCAAAGGCAGCAACCAUGGCGGAGGUACCCUGUAAGCUUAGCUGCUGUAAAAGUUUUUCCACGAGCAGGCAAACCAACCAGGACAAUUGCCAAAUGUUUAUCUUCCUUUGGUCCAAGCAUUUGAUCAGCUACGGCUGCAGCCGC